This 493-nucleotide long non-coding RNA is filed under the name Gorilla gorilla gorilla (western lowland gorilla). RNAcentral describes it as "lncRNA (ENSGGOG00000044396.1)". The record is from RNAcentral. Lineage: Eukaryota; Metazoa; Chordata; Mammalia; Primates; Hominidae.
CGGAGGUUGCAGUGAGCUGAGAUCGCACCACUACACUCCAGCCUGGGUGACUAAGCUAUACUGUGUCUCAAAAAUGAACAAACAAACAAACAAACAAAAAACCAAAGUACAACAUUUGGAGACUGCACUUUUUGCUGUUUCUCAGGUUACGUCUGAUACGACCAAACACUUCAGCGAAGGAGCUAUAAGGAGGAGAAAUCAGGAAAGGCUAAAAUUACAAGAACUAGAAGAAGAAAGGAAAAAAGAAAAGAAAAGAGAAGAGGAAGUAGCUGAAAGAAAAAGAAAAGAUGAUGAGCAAAAAGUCCGAGUAAAGAGGAAGAAGGCCAGGGUAAGGAGACAAGCCCUGAAGGAAAGAGACAGACACCAGCACAGGAAACAGAAGCCCAAAGCCAAAGCUGAGGCACCUCAAGAGCCAGACUCUUCAGAGGAGUGGGAGGAGAGGAAGUACCUAGUGGCUCAGAGGUGAGUUGAGGCACUUCGGUUCCUAAGGGUA